GAUGGUGCUACGAGGAGGAUGCUGAUGGUGCUACGAGGAGGAUGCUGAUGGUGCUACGAGGAGGAUGCUGAUGGCGUUACGAGGUGGAUGCUGAUGAAGCAACGAAGAGGAUGCUGAUGGAGCGACGAAGGAUGCUGAUGGAGCGACGAAGAGGAUGCUGAUGGAGCGACGAAGAGGAUGCUGACGGAGAGACGGGAAGCAUGCUGAUGGAGAACAAGAUGAAAAACAAGAUGAGAUUUUUAAGAAAUCUUGGAUUUUGAGAGAGCAUAUAUACUCUGUUGAAUUCGGCGUAUUCUUACUAAGUCAGAGAGUUCCCUCGCUCUCUGACUUAGAAAACGAAUUUUGUGGUAAAGUAUUUCAAAGUAGGCUCCUGCCACCUAUUUUGGAAUAAUGUUGUACAAAUUUCUAUUAAGUAAUGAUUUUAGAAUAAUAAUGUUGAUUGAAAAGCAUUUAUGCCGUGAUGAAUAAAUAACAUCCAUCGGUAGUUUUGAAACGACUGUCAGCUUAAAAUAUGCAUAUGUAUUUAAAUUAAACAUGGUCACCAUGCCAGCAAGUGUCAGCGUUUGAUAAAUGUUUUUCGAAAUACGCUUUUCAAUGCAAUAUGGAAAUUUGUCAUCAUAACGUGCACAAAAUUGCUGUUUCGUAAUAAUAUAUACGCAAUUUUAACAAAUAUUUAAUGUUUGGGGCUGUUUUCAUUCAACCGUAGCUAUAGUGUGUUUUCUUUUGACGUCAUAUAAGCCAUGUUGGGAGAGUACAUGAGAGUGUCGAAGCUCAGCAAAGCAUAAAAUUAGCAGAAAUUCUUUUCACUGUAUGGAAUUUUGCCCCAACAUGGUAACUGAUGAAAACAAUUUAGAGGAAGAAAUCAUUAAGGUGUAAAAUGAUUUUUUCAUCAGCUAGCAAUCCAUUUGGGACUUUUCACAGUAUUUUUAAUUCACGAAAAUUUACAUAAAACGUACAAAAUGACAUACCUCGCAACAAGUAUAAAACAUGUGAAAAUUGAUCAUCAAAUUUACUGGCAUUUCCCCAGUAUAGUAGCGGCAUCUUCUUUCAUGUUUAGAGAUUAUUUUACACCUCAAUGUUUUCUACUCUCAUGUCCUUAGACCCAAAAAAAAAUUUACAUCUGUAAUGUAAUGUAUGAUAAACUUAGGAAUAAAUUUAAGAGAAAGGAACUUCUCAAACGACUUCCAGUAAUAUGUAAGUUUUAGCAAGUAAAAUGUUCGUACAAUAAAUUAUAAAAAACUGUGA
Xenia sp. Carnegie-2017 is the source of this 1245-nucleotide long non-coding RNA. RefSeq lists it as uncharacterized. The record is from RefSeq and is a predicted model, not a curated record. The transcript is spliced from 2 exons. NCBI's taxonomy places the organism in Eukaryota, Metazoa, Cnidaria, Anthozoa, Malacalcyonacea, Xeniidae.